AUCGUAACAGGAUGUUUUUAUAUUCACAGGUCUAAUUUCACGCAUGACUUUUUUGUACGAUCAUAUUAAUUUACUUAGUAUUUACUGAUUUUCUUACGAUCCCAACAAUAUACGCUCAGUAGCGGUGAAAAAGUAAGAAAGACGAACAGAAACAACGUGUAGUAUAUAAAUACAAAUAACAAAGACAAUCAAAUGUUUACCCAAUUGGUAACAAAAAAUGCACAAAGCCUAGGUGGCUCCUCAUCCUGGCCAGUGCUCAUAAAUCUUUCAGAAGUGCCUCUGAAUUCGCAUUGAAGCCACCAGUGAAAUAUAUAAGAAUCCCUACAUGAUACCAUUGAUGUUCUUACCAGGUUCAGUGUGUUACCAAAAGGGUAUUAUGAAAUUUUCGCUGAACUGUGGAAUUUAGACGACUCCCAGACGGUGGAGAACGGUACAGCCAACUUCACAAUAAAUGUGAAAUAGGAAAAGCAUUUGAGUGGAGAAUGACAUUCUCAAGACGUAGUGUGUAAGACAUUUCAGCUAAGCCUUUAAAAUACUACUUCAAUACAAUUUCUAAUAAUAAUCAACAAUGUAUGUAUGCAAAGCUAUCCCUGAUGUAUAAGAGACAAGUAUCAAAUAAACUCGAGCUUUUAAAAUGUCUGAUUAUGCAAAUACUAACUUAACAUGUCAAUGAACUCCAUUCUUGUUUGGAUGUUAAGUCACUAAUUAAAUCCACUAGGGUGCACUCGAAGUCCAGUCACAGAAGCAAUAAAUGAACAUGCCAGUGUAGUAUUCCACAUUCAUUUAACAAACAACAGAACAUCUUAUAUGUAGCUAGGAAGUUAGUCAUUGAACCUAUGUGAUCUUGUUUCAACAAAAAAUAGCAUUUUACUGUUUAGACAAAUCAAUAA
This is a long non-coding RNA of Esox lucius (northern pike), 890 nucleotides long. The record is from Ensembl. Lineage: Eukaryota; Metazoa; Chordata; Actinopteri; Esociformes; Esocidae.